CCACCACCCGAGAACACUGUUCUCCCGAAACUUUAGGUAGCCACACACGAACAGAGGGGUAAGCCCGGAAGGUCAGGGCCCCCGAGGCACCAACCGGACGAACUCCGGAUACCUCGAGCCUAUUGGCAACCAACCGCCGUGCUAAGGUCCGUGUCAAAAGGAAACCGCCCUACCUACGACUAAGGUCCCCAGUCAUCACUAAGUGGAAACCAUGUGGAAUCCCAAAACAAACCAGGAGGUUGCCUUAGAACAACCCAUCCUUUAAAGAAAGCGUACCAGCUCACUGGUCUAAAUAAAGGUUCCUGCGGCCGAAGAUGUAACGGGGCUAAAGUGAUGCACCGAAGCUUAGGGGUUGCAGUUUACUGCAGCGUUAGCGGGAGCGUUCCGUAAGCGAGUGAAGCCGAAGGGUAACCGACGGUGGACGUAUCGGAAGUGCGAAUGCUGACAUGAGUAGCGACAAAGAGGGUGAGAUGCCCUCUCGCCGAAAGACCAAGGGUUCCUGCGCAACGCUAAUCGGCGCAGGGUGAGCCGGCCCCUAAGACGAGCCCGAAGGGGGUAGUCGAUGGGAACCACGUUAAUAUUCGUGGGCCUGGAGAUGUGUGACGGAUCGUGGAAGUUGUUCGACCUUAUUGGAUUGGUCGGGCAUCCAAGCGGUUCCAGGAAAUAGCCUCUCCGUAUAGACCGUACCCGAAACCGACACAGGUGGUCAGGUAGAGUAUACCAAGGCGCUUGAGAGAAGUAUCCUGAAGGAACUCGGCAAAUUGCCUCCGUACCUUCGGAAGAAGGAGGCCCCGUUAUUGCGCAAGCAGUAGCGGGGGGCACAGGCCAGGGGGUAGCGACUGUUUAGCAAAAACACAGGACUCUGCUAAGUCGGCUUCAAGACGACGUAUAGGGUCUGACGCCUGCCCGGUGCCGGAAGGUUAAGAGGAGGAGUGCAAGCUCCGAAUUGAAGCCCCGGUAAACGGCGGCCGUAACUAUAACGGUCCUAAGGUAGCGAAAUUCCUUGUCGGGUAAGUUCCGACCUGCACGAAUGGCGUAACGACUUCCCCACGUCUCCAGGAAUCCUCACGAAUGAAUCAAACCU
RNAcentral lists this ribosomal RNA (1084 nucleotides) under metagenome. Its description in RNAcentral is "bacterial LSU rRNA". It matches the Rfam family "Bacterial large subunit ribosomal RNA", at positions 833 to 2050 of the family's 2925-position model. The record is from RNAcentral.